RNAcentral lists this transfer RNA (72 nucleotides) under Nanobdellota archaeon. RNAcentral's name for it is "tRNA-Thr". It matches the Rfam family "tRNA". Rfam says of the family: Transfer RNA (tRNA) molecules are approximately 80 nucleotides in length. Their secondary structure includes four short double-helical elements and three loops (D, anti-codon, and T loops). The record is from RNAcentral. Lineage: Archaea; Nanobdellati; Nanobdellota.
GCCUCCGUGGCUUAGCGGUAUAGCGGCGCUCUCGUAAAGCGCAGGUCGUGGGUUCAAUUCCCACCGGAGGCU